Molecule: ribosomal RNA, 204 nt
Filed under: uncultured bacterium
Lineage: Bacteria
Description: partial 16S ribosomal RNA
Rfam family: Bacterial small subunit ribosomal RNA
Source: RNAcentral
AUUGCAGGCUGAAACUCGCCUGCAUGAAGUCGGAAUUGCUAGUAAUCGCAGAUCAGCAUGCUGCGGUGAAUACGUUCCCGGGCCUUGUACACACCGCCCGUCACACCAUGAGAGUCGGGAACACCCGAAGUCCGUAGCCUAACCGCAAGGAGGGCGCGGCCGAAGGUGGGUUCGAUAAUUGGGGUGAAGUCGUAACAAGGUAGC